AAAGAGGGGGACCUUCGGGCCUCUUGCCAUCAGAUGUGCCCAGAUGGGAUUAGCUUGUUGGUGAGGUAACGGCUCACCAAGGCGACGAUCCCUAGCUGGUCUGAGAGGAUGACCAGCCACACUGGAACUGAGACACGGUCCAGACUCCUACGGGAGGCAGCAGUGGGGAAUAUUGCACAAUGGGCGCAAGCCUGAUGCAGCCAUGCCGCGUGUAUGAAGAAGGCCUUCGGGUUGUAAAGUACUUUCAGCGGGGAGGAAGGUGUUGUGGUUAAUAACCGCAGCAAUUGACGUUACCCGCAGAAGAAGCACCGGCUAACUCCGUGCCAGCAGCCGCGGUAAUACGGAGGGUGCAAGCGUUAAUCGGAAUUACUGGGCGUAAAGCGCACGCAGGCGGUCUGUCAAGUCGGAUGUGAAAUCCCCGGGCUCAACCUGGGAACUGCAUUCGAAACUGGCAGGCUUGAGUCUUGUAGAGGGGGGNNNNNNNNNNNNNNNNNNNNGAAAUGCGUAGAGAUCUGGAGGAAUACCGGUGGCGAAGGCGGCCCCCUGGACAAAGACUGACGCUCAGGUGCGAAAGCGUGGGGAGCAAACAGGAUUAGAUACCCUGGUAGUCCACGCCGUAAACGAUGUCUACUUGGAGGUUGUGCCCUUGAGGCGUGGCUUCCGGAGCUAACGCGUUAAGUAGACCGCCUGGGGAGUACGGCCGCAAGGUUAAAACUCAAAUGAAUUGACGGGGGCCCGCACAAGCGGUGGAGCAUGUGGUUUAAUUCGAUGCAACGCGAAGAACCUUACCUGGUCUUGACAUCCACGGAAGUUUUCAGAGAUGAGAAUGUGCCUUCGGGAACCGUGAGACAGGUGCUGCAUGGCUGUCGUCAGCUCGUGUUGUGAAAUGUUGGGUUAAGUCCCGCAACGAGCGCAACCCUUAUCCUUUGUUGCCAGCGGUCCGGCCGGGAACUCAAAGGAGACUGCCAGUGAUAAACUGGAGGAAGGUGGGGAUGACGUCAAGUCAUCAUGGCCCUUACGACCAGGGCUACACACGUGCUACAAUGGCGCAUACAAAGAGAAGCGACCUCGCGAGAGCAAGCGGACCUCAUAAAGUGCGUCGUAGUCCGGAUUGGAGUCUGCAACUCGACUCCAUGAAGUCGGAAUCGCUAGUAAUCGUGGAUCAGAAUGCCACGGUGAAUACGUUCCCGGGCCUUGUACACACCGCCCGUCACACCAUGGGAGUGGGUUGCAAAAGAAGUAGGUAGCUUAACCUUCGGGAGGGCGCUUACCACUUUGUGAUUCAUGACUGGGGUGAAGUCGUAACAAGGUAACCGUAGGGGAACCUGCGGUUGGAUCACCUCCUUACCUUAAAGAAGCGUACUUUGCAGUGCUCACACAGAUUGUCUGAUGAAAA
This 1396-nucleotide ribosomal RNA is filed under the name Salmonella enterica subsp. enterica serovar Paratyphi A. Its description in RNAcentral is "bacterial SSU rRNA". It matches the Rfam family "Bacterial small subunit ribosomal RNA", at positions 202 to 1533 of the family's 1533-position model. The record is from RNAcentral. Lineage: Bacteria; Pseudomonadati; Pseudomonadota; Gammaproteobacteria; Enterobacterales; Enterobacteriaceae.